RNAcentral lists this ribosomal RNA (250 nucleotides) under uncultured bacterium. RNAcentral describes it as "partial 16S ribosomal RNA". It matches the Rfam family "Bacterial small subunit ribosomal RNA", at positions 796 to 1041 of the family's 1533-position model. The record is from RNAcentral.
CCAGCUGUAAACGAUGGAUGCUAGGUGUAGGGGGUAUCGACCCCCUCUGUGCCGCAGUUAACGCAUUAAGCAUCCCGCCUGGGGAGUACGGCCGCAAGGCUGAAACUCAAAGGAAUUGACGGGGGCCCGCACAAGCGGUGGAGCAUGUGGUUUAAUUCGAUGCAACGCGAAGAACCUUACCAGGGUUUGACAUGUCGGUUUACUGAACUGAAAAGGGAAGGACCCGGUUUCCGGGAGCCGACACAGGUGG